RNAcentral lists this ribosomal RNA (505 nucleotides) under uncultured bacterium. Its description in RNAcentral is "partial 16S ribosomal RNA". It matches the Rfam family "Bacterial small subunit ribosomal RNA", at positions 28 to 507 of the family's 1533-position model. The record is from RNAcentral.
GACGAACGCUGGCGGCGUGCCUAAUACAUGCAAGUAGAAUGCACAGUUUAUACCGUAGCUUGCUACACCAUAGACUGUGAGUCGCGAACGGGUGAGUAACGCGUAGGUAACCUGCCUGGUAGCGGGGGAUAACUAUUGGAAACGAUAGCUAAUACCGCAUAAUAUUGAUUAUUGCAUGAUAAUUGAUUGAAAGAUGCUAUUGCAUCACUACCAGAUGGACCUGCGUUGUAUUAGCUAGUAGGUGAGGUAACGGCUCACCUAGGCGACGAUACAUAGCCGACCGGAGAGAGUGAUCGGCGACACGGGGACGGAGACACGGCCCAGACGACUGCGGGAGGCAGCAGUAGGGAAUCUGCGGCAAUGGACGGGAGUCUGGCCGAGUGAGGCCAAGUGAGUGGAGAAGAUGUUCGGUUCGUGAAGAUCGGUUUUGAGAGGAGAACGGGUGUGAGAGUGGAAGGUGCACACUGUGACGGUAUCUUACCAAAAAGGAACGGCUAACUACGUG